Molecule: long non-coding RNA, 358 nt
Organism: Cyprinus carpio carpio
Lineage: Eukaryota; Metazoa; Chordata; Actinopteri; Cypriniformes; Cyprinidae
Source: Ensembl
CUGGGACACACAGGCACAGUUAGUUCAGCUUGGUUUUGCUCUCACCUCUUCGCUGAUUACAGCUCACAGUAAGUACUGGUUCACACAGUUCGUUCCUUGGGUGCUCACUCGCUUUCUCUUUCUCCACAGGCAGCGGCGUAAGUACAGGUUUCCUCGGUCUCUCCUCGUGUUACCCACUCUCUCUCCUUUUCUCUCCACAGGCAUCAACUUGGGCACACUAGCACAGUUAGUUUGCUUUGAAUGGCUCUCACCUCUGGGCUGAACACAGCGUACUGUAAGUACAGGUUCCCUCUGGUUCUCCUUGUGUUACUCACUCUCUCUUUCCUUUCCUCUCCACAGGUAUCAACUUGGACACAAA